This 301-nucleotide ribosomal RNA is filed under the name uncultured bacterium. RNAcentral describes it as "partial 16S ribosomal RNA". It matches the Rfam family "Bacterial small subunit ribosomal RNA", at positions 509 to 807 of the family's 1533-position model. The record is from RNAcentral.
CAGCCGCCGCGGGAAUACGAAGGGUGCAAGCGUUAAUCGGAAUUACUGGGCGUAAAGCGUGUGUAGGUGGUUGUUUAAGUCUGUCGUGAAAGCCCUGGGCUCAACCUGGGAAUUGCGAUGGAUACUGGGCGACUAGAGUGCGGUAGAGGAUAGUGGAAUUUCCGGUGUAGCAGUGAAAUGCGUAGAGAUCGGAAGGAACAUCUGUGGCGAAGGCGACUAUCUGGGCCAACACUGACGCUCAUGCACGAAAGCGUGGGGAGCAAACAGGAUUAGAUACCCCCGUAGUCCCUGUCUCUUAUAC